UUGAUUCUGGUCGUCUCUGAUUGUUCUCUGAUGCUAAAGAUAUUCUGUAAUUCCAGGAUACCUUUGAGGUUAUGGUCAUCAGUUGCGGGGUCCUAGGAACCAUCAAACCAAAGCUUCUGGAUGAGAGAACUCAGAGAUCCUAGAACCUUCACCCAGUGACUGAUGGCAGCAGAGAAUGUUGAAGAUUUUUAGUAAAUGUAACCUAAGAACAGCACUGGGUACAAAAAAAUUCAGGUAAUGUACUGCAUUUUGUAAGGGAGUGUGAGGAGCUGCCCUCGCUAUCGCUAUCGCCAUUAGAAGAUGGCGCUGACAUCCGCUGUCAGUUGGAGUUCACCGUUUAAGCUGUGCCUCUCCCGUGGUGUCAUCUGGGGUGAUGAGCAAACCACCAAUCUCGG
Long non-coding RNA from Mesocricetus auratus (golden hamster), 395 nucleotides. RefSeq lists it as uncharacterized. The record is from RefSeq and is a predicted model, not a curated record. The transcript is spliced from 3 exons. Lineage: Eukaryota; Metazoa; Chordata; Mammalia; Rodentia; Cricetidae.